Molecule: ribosomal RNA, 459 nt
Filed under: uncultured bacterium
Lineage: Bacteria
Description: bacterial SSU rRNA
Rfam family: Bacterial small subunit ribosomal RNA
Source: RNAcentral
AACGAACGCUGGCGGCAGGCUUAACACAUGCAAGUCGAACGCCCCGCAAGGGGAGUGGCAGACGGGUGAGUAACGCGUGGGAAUCUACCCAGAUCUUCGGAACAACUGAGGGAAACUUCAGCUAAUACCGGAUACGCCCUACGGGGAAAGAUUUAUCGGUUCUGGAUGAGCCCGCGUUGGAUUAGCUAGUUGGUGAGGUAAUGGCUCACCAAGGCGACGAUCCAUAGCUGGUCUGAGAGGAUGAUCAGCCACACUGGGACUGAGACACGGCCCAGACUCCUACGGGAGGCAGCAGUGGGGAAUAUUGGACAAUGGGCGAAAGCCUGAUCCAGCCAUGCCGCGUGAAGUGAUGAAGGCCUUAGGGUUGUAAAGCUCUUUUCAGUAGGGAAGAUAAUGACCGGUACUACAGAAGAAGCCCCGGCUAACUUCGUGCCAGCAGCCCGGGUAAGGCACGACUGU